This 15144-nucleotide long non-coding RNA is filed under the name Phaseolus vulgaris (common bean). Its description in RNAcentral is "long non-coding RNA (PVUL_LNC001449)". The record is from RNAcentral. Lineage: Eukaryota; Viridiplantae; Streptophyta; Magnoliopsida; Fabales; Fabaceae.
AGAUGCAUAUAAGUUUAUAUAUAUGGCAUGAUAAGUGAUGCAUGAUGCAUCUUAUAUAUAACCUUUUGGUUUGUUGGAGUAAACUUGUUGAUGUCUUUUAUGCAGGUUUUUGACUUUUGGCUCCUUUCCCACUCUCCAAUAAUGGAAAAAGCGACGAUAGAAACCUUUGAACCCAUAAAGUUAGAAACCAUUGAACCCAAAUGGAUUGACAAUGAACCAGAAGUUGGACCCUUUUGGAACCAAAGCACAGCAAAUAAACACAGGGAGGUGAAGAAGUCGCAUACAGACCUAAGCAAACCUGUCCAAACCAAAAUCUGGUGGAAUGGAAAAAAAACUCUUUUCUGAAAGGUGAUGAACAAGCCAAGUAAUCAAUUUCUAAGUGUACCUUUGCCUAAAAGUGAUGCAACUUCUACUAGUGUAUGAAACCACAAAUAAGUGAUGAAACUUCAACUAGUGUAUGAAACCACAAAUAAAUAUGUACUGUUUCAGGAAUAAAACUACUUUUUAAUUUUGUUUCAAUUCUCAUGUAAACAUGCACUAGCUAGAAGUUCAACACACUAAUUUUUAAAAUAAAAAUACUUUUGAAUUCCGCUAAAAUUGAUUAAAAUAUCUUAAUGCAACGCCUAACAUAAUCUAAUAUAUUAGUAGAUUAAUAUAAUAAUAUUUCUCAUAUAUACUAUUAAUUUCUAUAUAAGAUACAUUGUACUUGAUAUUCGAACAUAAUUUCUUAAAAAAUAAUAUAUACAUCAAUCCACAAAAAAUAAUAUCCAUUAACUCUGAAUACUUCACGUAAAAUCAAAUUAUACAAACAUAUACAUGAGGUUGAAUUAAUUUAAAAAUACCUAAAGAAUACAUAUGAAAUUAUCCUAAUAAUAUUCAUGCACUAUAAAUUAUAUUUGAUUCACAUAUGAAUUUUUAACCUCUUCUUGUAAAAAGACUUAUAUUAGGUGUAUCUCAUCAGAAUUUCGAAUGUGACUCGUUAAAAAUAUUACUAGUAAAAAUAAAUAUUGAUUUCUUAUUUUAGGCUUUCAUUGUAAAAAGUGGUAUAAUACAAAAAUCUCCUUCAACUUCUCACCAUUUUAGUCUUAUUUAUAUGAUUAGAUCAUUAGUAAAACAUAAGAUAUACUAUUUAAAUAAAUCAACGCGUUACUUUGAGCUUUUUAACAUAUUAUUUACUAAACUUCACAUUUUUAACAAAUUAGAUUGUUUGUUUUUUUUUAUCAACAAGCAGAAAAUGAAUAAAUAUGAACCACUUCAAGAGUGGUCCAAUCCUUAUACAUGAUUGCUAAAAACCAUGAUGUCACGUCUUUCCAAGUUAUCUUUAGUUGCAACUGAAUUUAGUAGCACCCUCCAAGCAAUAAACUGGGUUGAAGGCAAAACAAAAGUCUUCCACAGAGGAACAAACAGACUAUCUCCCUCGAAAGGACCUCUUAAAGUUUCAUAGGCAGACUUUACUGAAAACCCAUUAUCCUUACCAACCUUCCAAACCCAGUUAUCUUCAUAAUUCAAGACAAGGACCUUUCCAUGCAUCUCUUGUAAUAGUUGAAGUUCCUUAUUUUUCUCCCAAUCAAACAGAACUCUUCUCCAGACAAACUUUGAAUCCCAUAUACCAUUAAACCACUCCUCACUAGACUCUAAAUUACCUUAUUUAUUACAACACAAAGAAAACAGUCUUGAAAAUUUACUCUUCAAAUCUUCAUUGUCCACCCACACAUCUUUCCAGAACAAGACUUCCUUCCCGUUUCCCACUCCCCACUCCCCACUCGAAACAGUCCUCAAAGUUCCUACCCCAUUCCUUCAUCCCCCAAACUCCCUUCAAAUCUCUCCACCAGUUGGAAUCCUUAGCAUUGACACUUUGCUCUUGCAAGCUUCUCCAACCUUCAUAUUUAGACUCGAGAAUCUCCUUCCAGAGACCACCCUUAUCAAAACCCAGACAUUAAAUCCAUUUUCUCAUCAAAGUCACAAUGAAAAGCCUUAAUUUCAAAAUACCAAGACCGCCAGCUUCUCGAGGCUCGCAAGCCUUUUUCCAAGAAACCCACACAAUCUUCCUUCCUUCUGAACCCCAACCCCACAAAAACCUUCUUUGAAUUUUCUCAAUCUCCUUCAACACAACAAGAGGCAACUUAUUCAUAGAUAUAUAGAACAACGGGAGAGAAGAAAUAACUGACUUAAUCAGACAAACCCUCUCAACCAAUGAAGAGUUACUUUGACAAAAUCUGUCAUCUCUGUUGUCCCUUUAUAUUUCCUGACUCUUUUCAAAAUGCCCACAACAGUUGAGAAAUUAAUCACAAGAUUACAAAGAGAUUUUUUUAUAGGGAUGGGGUAUCUUUUGCUGGAAGAGUUACUUUGACAAAAUUUGUCGUCUUUGUGGUCCCUUUAUAUUACCUGUCUCUUUUUAAAAUGCCCAUAGCAGUUGGGAAAUUAAUCACGGGACUACAAAGAGAUUUUUUUAUGGGAUAGAGAAGUGAUAGAAGGAAAAUAGCUUGGGCGAAAUGAGAAUUCCUAUGUCAAUUCAAAUCAGAUGGAAGAUUAGGAAUUAAGGAUGUAAACUUUUUUAAUAUGGCUCUUAUUGGGAAAUGAAAAUGGAGACUUGGUUGUGAAAAGUCAAGACUUUGGAAAUAGGUAUUGGAAUCUAAAUAUGGUUCUUGGAGAGGGUUGGAUGUUAGUGUUGUGUCAAAUACUGAAUCUUGGUGGUGGAGAGAUAUCAAGAAGGUGUGUGGAGGAAACUCAAAUUCAUUAUUUGAUAAUUAGAGAAGGUGGAAGGUAGGUGUAGGGAGUACGUAAUAUUCUAUUUUGGACAGAUUGUUGGGCAGGGAACAAUAAUCUUAAAAAUAUAUAUCCUAGAUUUUUUUUUCAAAUUCAGUACUUAAAAAGGGUUUUGUAGAUAAAUAUGGGGUAUGACAUGAGAACUAGUGGGUAUGGCAAAUAGAAUGGAGAAGAGAGUGAUUUUUAUGAGAAAUUGAAAUUAUAAAUGCCUUUAUGGAUGAAUUGAAGGUUGUUAAAAUAGAUGCUUGUUUAAAUGAUGAGUAGAUGUGGCUAGGUGAUAUCUCAAAUUCUUUUGCACCAAAAUAUAUUGCAGCCACAUCUAUUUUCUGCAUUUAACUUUGAUUCUUUCGAGAGUUUAAAAGCUCUUCCAUCAACACAAUAUUUUUUCUGACGUGUUUUAACUGGUAAAAUUGCAACCUAUGAUAAUUUAAUACAUAGAGGAAUUCAGGUUGGAGGGAGAUGUAUGUCAUGUGUGGGUCUGAGCUUGAACAGUAAAUCAUCUUUUCUUCACAUGUAAAGUGACUUCUAAAGUGUUGUAUAUGUAUGAUGUUUGGGCUGGUAGAGUCUUUGUACAUUUUGAACAAAUAGGUUUUACAGAUCUAAACUACUUGGGAAAUUAUGUCUGGAGAUGUAUGUGGAUUGCCAUUAUGUAGGGAAUUUGGAAUCAUAGGAAUAGGAUAAUUUUAAUAAUGCAGUGGUGGAUCCUGUUGAAAUUUUUGCUAAGGCCAAAGUAAAGGCAUGGGCAUGGGUAACCUAUAAAUUCCCAAAGUCAAUUUUUUCUUAUUCUGAUAGGUGUAUUAAUGUAUAUGAAUGUUUAAAAUCACUACAUUGAUCGUUAACGUCUUUUCUAUACUUUUUGGUUGGUUUUUGUUUUGGAUGAGAGCACAUCCCUUUGGGUACAACUAUAGCCACAACUGAUGCGUGGGAAGCUGUAGUAGAUAGCAAGGAAGAAUUUUUUUUCCUUAGAGUUGCCAUGUUUUAUAUCUUGGAAUUGAGCUAAGUUGUUGUGUAUUUUUUAUAGAUGUAGUAUGAUGUAUAUGUGUUGGGUUUUUGUUAGAGGUUUAAGCUUACCAACUUUAUAUGUGCAGAAUAUGGCUAAACUUUGGCCAUUUUACUCUGACAACCUCACUUCUCUAGCUUUGAGGAAUUUUGUACAUGGGGGUUGGAGUACCCCUAGAACUCACAUUUUUUUUUUAUAUAUUUUUACUGCUGAUAAUAAUAUAAAUAAUAAUAAUAAUAAUAGGUUUAAUAAAAAUAAUAUUAAAUAAUCAAUAACAACAUAUAAAGGUGAUUCUUUUUUUUUGUGUACACAUUUUGUUUUUCAAUUUUAUUCUUUAAAAUAUUUCAUUUUCCAAUUGAAAAUUUGAAUUUUAAAUUUUUUUGAAAAUUUUGAAUUUUGAAAAAAAAAAUAAAGAAUACAAUUUCUUAUAAUUUUAUCCAUUAAAUAACUAUUUUUUUUAAAAUUCAAAUAAUUUUUCUCAAUAAAAAACAACCUACACAAUAAAAAAUUAAAUACAAAAUAUCAAAAUUUAUUAUUUUUAUAAUAAUUUUUAAUAAAAAUAUUUAUAAUUUAAUAAUAUAUUGAUACCAAUUUAGAAACUAUUUUUUUUAUCAUCAAAAAAUUAAUUAAUUGAAGAAAACACUUCAGGAGUGUUCUAAUCCUAACCAUCUUACUAUUAAACCCAGAAACAUAAAAAUCUUAGACAUAAUUUAGAAACUAUUUAUCAAUAAUACAAAUUAAUUUAGAAAUCAAUAAGUUUUUUUAGUUUUAAAAUAGGGUUUAAUCAAUAUAUAAAAAUUAAUUAUUUUUUCUUUGUAAAAUUAGUUUUUAUUUAAUGAUUUUGUAAUAGUGAUUUAAAUAGUAUUUUUUUAAAAUAAAAUAUUUUAUUUAUUUAAUAAAAUAAAUAAUUGAAUAAUUAUUUUUAUUAUAAAAUAAUUAAAUAUCCUCUUUUUAGAAAUAACUGUUAUAUAUAUAUAUAUAAUAUUUUUUACCUUUUAAUAUAUAUAAUUUAUCUUUUUAAAAAAAAAAUACUCAAUUGUUGUUAUAAUUUAAUAAAUAAAUUUAUUAAGAAAAAUUUUACUCCUUAUUAAAAAUUGUAGGUAAAAUUACAAACGAUCUUAUCAAUGGAUUUUUGAACAUUUCUUUUCCGUUAGUAAUUUCAAUUACGCUAUGAUAAUCAUGUGCUAGGAAGAAGAUUCAUAGCUAUAGUUGGGCAUCACAUUGUGUGUUGUGAUUGACGUGUAUACAGUGUAAUCUGAGUGACAAGGUUGCAUGGUGGGAAGAGUUGACGGUUUUCAAAAGUACACGCCAAAAUAUGGCGUGGCGUUGCUGUGGUGACUUUAAUGUUGUCAGGAGUGUAGAAGAAAGGAAAGGAGUUAGAGGAAGUGCUAACCAAAAGAAGGAGAUCAGUGGCUUCAAUAAUUUCAGUGAUAAGAAUCUGUUGGUGGAUUUACCUAUUGUAGGUAAGAAGUAUACAUGGUACAAAGUAAAUGGUUCAGCUAAAAGUAGGUUGAAUAAUGCACUUGUCUUUGAAGAGUGGCUUCAAAUGUGGCCAACGACCAAACAAUACGUACAACCGAGGGAGGUAUCAGACCUUUUUGCGUUAGUACUGAAAUCUUAAGUCAAAGAUUGGGACUAAAACCUUUCAAAUAUAUAGAUGCAUGGCUAUUGAAACUUGGGUUCAAGGAGUUGGUGAAGGGUAAGUGCAGGGCAAUAGUACCUCCAAAUUGAAAGACAAAUUGAAGCUCCUAAAGGGUGACCUCAAAGGGUCGAACUGGAGUAUGUUCGAGAACUUGGAUGUGAAUAAGAAGAGGAUUAUGAAGGAAAUCGAAUGUAUAGACGUCAAGGAUGCCAACAAUGAUCUUGAGGAGAGUGACAAACUGAGAAGAUUUGAGUUGUUAGUCAGCAGAGGUUGUUAGAUAAAAAACUUGAAUCCCUUUUCAAGCAAAAAGUCAGAGCAAACUGGUUUAAGCAUGGGGACUCUAACUCCAAAUACUACCACUCUGUAAUUCAGUGGAGAAGGUUUAGAAAUGAAGUCAAAGGUGUUGAGGUAGAUAACCAAUGGUGUGAGGAAUCGAAAGUUCUCCGCGGGGAAGCAAAAAGAGUGUUUGAACAAAGGUUCAUGACUACAUCCGAUGUUGGUGUUAGUCUUUGUUUCGUUUAGUUCAAGUCUCUCCCUGGGGAGGUUAGUUUAAGAUUGGUAGCUGACUUUAUUGAGGAUGAAGUGAAAGAAGUAGUGUGGCAGUGUGAGGGAUCAAAGAGCCCGAGCCCGAACAGGUUUAACUUUAAUUUUAUCAAGAGUGAUUGGGAUACCUUCAAGAAGGAUAUUGUGGAAGUUGUCCAUUUUUUUUUCAAAAAUCGGGGUGCAUUCUGAAGGGGUGUAAUGCCUCAUUUAUUGCAUUAGUUCCAAAAGUGAAAGAUCCCAAUACACUUGACCAAUUCAGGCCCAUAUCUUUAGUGGGAGCUAUAUAUAAGAUCAUUACUAAGGUCUGAUCGUGUCAUAUUAAGGAAGUACUCCCUUUGGUUAUUGAUGAAAAUCAAUCAGCCUUCUUGAAGGAUAGAAUAAUGUUACACAGUGUUCUUAUGGCCAACGAGGUGGUUGAGAAGGUAAGGAGAAGUCCGAGGAGUGGGUUGUGUUUGAAGGUGGAUUAUGAAAAAACCUAUGACUCAGUUAGGUGGAAAUUCUUGUUGGAUAUGUUACAGAGGUUGGGGUUCCAUAACAAAUGGAUAAAGUGGGUCAAAAGAUGUCUGGAGUCGGCCUCAGUGUUAGUUUCGGUUAAUGGUAGCCCUACGGAGGAAUUUAAACCAUCUAGGGGGUUGAGGCAGGGAGACCCCUUGGCACCGUUUUUGUUCCUUGUUGUAGGUGAAGGCUUGGCUAGAUUAGUAAGAAAGCUGUAAAGGAGAAUGUGCUUAAAGGAGUGAAGGUGGGGAGGACUGAGACUGAAUGUUGCAUGUUACAAUUCGCUAAUGACACAUUGUUUCUGUGUGAAGAUUCCUACUCCAACAUUUUCACAAUUAAGGUGAUUUUAAGGUGUUACGAGCUAGCUUCAGGUCUUAAAAUCAACUUCCACAAAUUGAAGUUGGCAGGUAUUAGAGUGGAGAGGAAUUCUCUUGAGACUUAUGCAAAAACUCUUAAUUGUAAUGUUAUGCAAAUUCCAUUUAAAUACCUGGGGUUAGAACUAGGAGGGAACCCAAGGAGAAAACAGUUUUGGGAGCCAAUUGUUGAUAAAAUUAAAGCUAGACUUAGCACAUGGAAGGGAAGAUGUUUGUCGUUAGCAGGUAGAGUAUGCUUAAUAAAAUCGGUCUUUACUGCCAUACCCCUUUUCUACCUGUCGUUCUUUAAAGCUCUGACAUUGAUAUGUAAAAAAAUCUCUAGCAUCCAAAGGAGAUUCCUCUAGGAUUGGGAAAGUGAUCACAAAAGUAUUUCUUGGGUUAGAUGGAAGAAUGUAUGUAAGCCCAUGGAAGAAGGAGGAUUGAGGAUCAAAGAUAUAAGAAAAUUCAAUAAUGCUCUUUUGGCAAAAUGGAAAUGGAGGUUGUUGAGCGAGGAAAAAGGAAAAUGGAAAGACAUUCUUGAAUCUAAAUAUUACUCUGGAACAAGAAGAAAUCAAACUUAUACAAACUACCAAUCCUGGUAGUGUUAAGAUUUACCUAACAUAUGUGGUGAGGGAGAAGGAGAUGGAUGGUUCCAAGAUAACAUAGCUUGGAAAGUUGACUCUAGGGAUAAAGUAAGAUUUUGGGAGGAUGCUUGGGUUGACAAUUGUAGGGAUAUUGUGAAGGAUACCAAAAUUUUUAGGUGGAAAACCCCUUUAAAUAGAGGUAAAAAACCACCGGCGAGAGAGUCAAAACUUCCACUAUAAUGGUACUGGGAGUACAAUGAAUUCCUCUCAAACAAAUUCUCUCUAUAUGGGUUAAACACUUACACCCAAGAGCAGAAAUAGAGAGUAUAGGAAAAUGAGAGAGGAAGCAAGUGUGUGUUGCUAUUUGUUGUGUGUUACAUUGCUUGAAGGAAGCCACUAUAUAGAGUGGUUCUAGGAGACAACAAUAAUAAAUACAAUUAAUGGUAAUUAACCUCCCUUUGAUUGCAAUUGAUUGUGGCAAUUAACCUCCCAUUGAUUGCAAUUGAUUGUGGCAAGUAACCUCCCAAUUAUGACAAGAAAACGAAAGGUGAGUCAUAACCCACAAAUCUCCACCUUGACUUGCCUUUGACUGGAACACUCUCUCGCCAUGAAGCCUUGAUUAAGUAUGGAUAAUACCAGCUAAGUUCAGGCAAUGAUCGAACUUAGCCGAUGGAAGUGGCUUGGUCAACAUGUCUGCAGGNNNNNNNNNNNNNNNNNNNNNNNNNNNNNNNNNNNNNNNNNNNNNNNNNNNNNNNNNNNNNNNNNNNNNNNNNNNNNNNNNNNNNNNNNNNNNNNNNNNNUUUCAAUGUGCUUGGUCCUUGAGUGAUACUUACUGUUCCUGGUUAAGUGGACAACACUCUGACUAUCACAAAAUAUAACAAGAACAUCUUGUUGAAGACCAAGUUCACUUACCAAGCCUCGAAGCCAUAUAGCCUCUUUCAUACCUUCUGUAGCAACAAUAUAUUCUGCUUCAGUGGUGGACAAAACCGCAAUGGCUUUAAGUGAAGAAUACUAACUGAUAGCAGACCCACAUAGGGUAAAAAGAUAGGCUGAAAGUGACCUUCUCCGAUCUAAAUCACCACCAUAGUCAACAUCAACAUAGCCAACUACUCCUCUAGGAUCGGCUCUAUGUUGAUCAAAUACCAAACCAAGAUCUGGAGAACCUUUCAGAUAANNNNNNNNNNNNNNNNNNNNNNNNNNNNNNNNNNNNNNNNNNNNNNNNNNNNNNNNNNNNNNNNNNNNNNNNNNNNNNNNNNNNNNNNNNNNNNNNNNNNUUCCCAGUGUGCCUUGCUUGGAUUAUGCAUGAACCUGCUAACAAUGCUAACAGCAUAAGCUAAAUCAGGUCUAGUACAUACCAUAGCAUACAUGAGACUUCCAAUUGCAUUUGAAUACAGGACAUGUGACAUGCGCCUUUUGUCCUCGUCUGAUUUUGGACACUGAUCUGAUGACAACUUGAAGUGGGCGGCAAUUGGAGUAUUAACAACUUUGCAAUCUCGCAUUCCAAAUUUGUUAAGCAUCUUAAGAACAUACUUAUUUUGUGAUAGAAAAAGUUUUCCAACUUGACGAUCUUUGUUGAUCUCCAUUCCUAAAAUUUUCUUAACAGGACCUAAGUCCUUCAUAUCAAAUUCACUACUAAGCUGAGCCUUUAACUUGUUAACUAAAAAUUUAUCUCUUGCAGCAAUCAACAUGUCAUUAACAUAUAACAACAAGUAUAUAAAUGACCCAUCAUAUGUCUUUUGAAAAUAGACACAAUUAUCAUAGCUACUUCUGGAGUAGCCAUGUCCAACCAUGAAAGAAUCAAACCUCUUAUACCAUUGUCUUGGUGAUUGCUUCAAGCCGUAGAGAGAUUUCUUCAAACGACAUACAUGGUCCUCCUUUCCAGGAAUAACGAAGCCCUCAGGCUGCUGGAUGUAAAUCUCUUCCUCAAGAUUACCAUGAAGAAAAGCAGUUUUCACAUCUAACUGUUCCAGCUCCAAAUCAUACAAGGCAACUAAAGCAAGUAAUAUACGUAUUGAAGUAUGACGAACAACAGGAGAAAAUACUUCAUUAAAGUCAAUAUCUUUCUCUUGAUCAAAACCUCUUACAACAAAUCUUGCUUUAUUCCUUGUACUCUCAACACCAGGGAUCCCUUCUUUUCUCUUAAGAUCCACUUGCAACUAAUGACUCGUUUUCCUUCUGGUAACUUCACCAAUUCCCAUGUUUUUUUUUAGAAGACUCUCAACUUCUUCUUGCAUAGCAGCAAUCCACUUUGUUGAGUCAUCACCAGAGAUAGCUUCAGAGUAAUUAUUGGGUUCACCUUCUUCACCCAUCUCUUGUGCAAUAGUUAAAGCAUAAGCAAUGUUGGCAGAUUCUGCAAUUAAUCUUUGAGUCGGUUUUCUUGGUCUCUGUUGUGGAAGUUCUUGAGCCAUAGACCACAGUUGUGGUAACCCUCGUCGUUGAGGUGGACAUUGCUCAUGUGGAGUCACAUGUUCAUUUGUACCAUUAAUAAGAGUGACUUGAUCACCUUGAGUACUGGAGGAAUUAGGAACGUCUUCCUCAUGAGUGGGUGUUUUAAUCUCAAACUCCACCUUCUCUCGAGCAUCUUCCUGGUCACCUGUAUCAAUUGAGGAAAUGACAAUAUCUUUUACAGAAGAGAGCAUAGCAUUUUCAUUAAAGGUCACAUUCCGACUGUGAAUUACUUUGUGAGAUUCUGGGUCAUAUAAACGAUAACCUUUAACCCCUAAGCCAUAACCCAAGAAAAUGCACUUCUUAGCACGAGGUUCUAAUUUUCCCUCGUUUACAUGAGAAUAAGUAGGGCAACAAAAUAUUUUAAGAUUAGAAUAAUCAACAAGGUUACCUGACCAAACUUCUUCUGGAAUGUUGCAAUCAAUUGAUCUGUUAGGAGAGCGGUUUAUCAGAUAACUUGUCGUUGAAGCCGCUUCAGCCCAAAAAGAUUUGCUCAAACCAGAAUGGGAGAACAUGCAACGAACUCUCUCCAGGAUAGUUCUAUUCAUUCUUUCUGCAACCCCGUUUUGAUGUGGAGUCUUUGGGAUGGUGAAGUGUCUGGAAAUGCCUUCCUUCUUGCUGAAAUCAUUGAAUUCAUUCGAACAGAACUCAAGGCCAUUGUCUGUCCUUAGCCUCUUUAUCUUCUUGCCAGUUUGAUUCUCAAUCAAUAAUUUCCACUCUUUAAAAGUGGAAAAUGCUUCAUUCUUAUGUUUGAGAAAAUACACCCACAGUUUUCAUGAGAAAUCAACAAUAAUUGUCAUCAUAUAACGACAUUUACCUCUGGAGGGAACUUUUGACGGACCCCAAAGAUCUGAAUGAAUAUAAUCCAAAGUACCUUUGGUUCUGUGUAUGGCUUUAGAAAAACUAACCUUUUUCUGCUUACCAAAAAUGAAAUGUUCACAGAAAUCAACCUUUCCAGUACAGUGGUUACCAAGGUGACCCUUCUUCUUGAGGAUUAGAAUUCCCUUCUCACUCAUGUGGCCUAAUCUCAUAUGCCACAACUUGGUGUUAUCUUUAUUGGGUGAGGCAACAACUGCAGAACCUGUAACUGUUGAACCCUGCAGCACAUACAAACUAUCACAUUGAAUUGCCUUUAGUAACACAAGAGCUCCUUUAGACACUUNNNNNNNNNNNNNNNNNNNNNNNNNNNNNNNNNNNNNNNNNNNNNNNNNNNNNNNNNNNNNNNNNNNNNNNNNNNNNNNNNNNNNNNNNNNNNNNNNNNNNNNNNNNNNNNNNNNNNNNNNNNNNNNNNNNNNNNNNNNNNUUCCUUCACCAACAACUUUGCAUUGAGCAUCAUUUCCCAUCAAAACAAGACCAUCAUAAACUGGUUCAUAUGUGGUAAACCAAUCUCUAUUGUGAGACAUGUGAAAAGUACAACCAGAAUCAAGAAUCCAUUCAUUUUUAGACCUUUGUUCAGUGUUGGAAGCUACAAAACAAUCCCCAUCAGAUUCAGUUUCAACAAUACUAGCUUCGGCAAAUUUUUCUGGUUGUUUACCAUUUCCCUUAUCUUCUUUAUCUUGCAUAUUUUUCAAUUUAUAACAUUCAAGGAUCUCAUGUCCCUUUUUCUUGCAAUAACGACAAUAUUUGGAGUUCUUGCCUCUAGAUUUUGACCUAGAUUUAUGUUUAGUGUUCCUACCUUUCUCUUGGUUUCUUCCUCUAACUACUAAUCCUUCACCAGAACUUUCAGAAUGAAUUUGAGUAUCAAAUUUUUCUUUGACUAGUAAAUUAGUCUUGACAUCAUCAAAGCUUAAGGUAAGAUAAUUACCGUAUAACAUAAUUUCUUUUGAAUUGUCGAUGCGAGGGUGGUAGAGAAACAAUAAGUAGAAUGGCUUUAUCCUCAUCAUCAAUUUUAACAUCCAAAUUUUCCAAAUCAAUUAUGAUGGAAUUAAAUUCAUCAAGGUGAGAUUGGAUGGGAGUACCUUCGGACAUUCAGAGUGUAAGGAGUCGCUCCUUUAACCGGAGUUUGUUUGCAAGACUUUUGGUCAUGUAUAGAGACUCCAAUUUACUCCAUAUGCGUGCUGUAGUUUUCUCGUUGAUGACCUCACGCAACACCUCAUGGGACAAGCAUAACUGGAUUGCAGACAAUGCCUUUUCAUCCAUCUCAUUCCACUGCUCCUCCGUUAUAGUGGUUGGUCUCAUCAUUUUACCUGUCAAAACAUUCUUUAAACCAUUCUGGGUGAGAACAGUUAGCAUCUGGACUCGCUAGAUAGCAAAGCUGAUUUUACCAUCAAAUUUCUCAAUAUCCAAUUUUGACAUUAUUGAACAACAGAUCCUGGUUGAAUUAUCGAAAAAUUUUGAUGCCAAUUUGUAGGGAUAUUGUGUGCGGAAGGGUAAUAAUUUCAACCAAAGAUUAUGAGAAAUUAAAGUAAGAAGUAAAGUGAGAAUAAUACCAGAAUUUUUAGGUGGAAAACCCCUUUAAAUAGAGGUAAAAAACCACCGGCGAGAGAGUCAAAACUUCCACUAUAAUGGUACUGGGAGUACAAUGAAUUCCUCCCAAACAAAUUCUCUCUAUAUGGGUUAAACACUUACACCCAAGAGCAGAAAUAGAGAGUAUAGGAAAAAGAGAGAGGAAGCAAGUGUGUGUUGCUAUUUGUUGUGUGUUACAUUGCUUGAAGGAAGCCACUAAAUAUAGUGGUUCUAGGAGACAACAAUAAUAAAUACAAUUAAUGGUAAUUAACUUCCCUUUGAUUGCAAUUGAUUGUGGCAAUUAACCUCCCAUUGAUUGCAAUUGAUGGUGACAAAUAACCUCCCAAUUAUGACAAGAAAACGGAAAGGUGAGUCAUAACCCACAACAACAACAAACUUAUAUCCUUGUAUCAUGGGUUAUAUUUCUUGUCCCUAGAUCACGGUGAGUGAGGUAUGUUCUUGGGGGGAUUCAGGAUGGCUUUGGCAGUUAAGGUGGAGAAGUGUAAGGUAUGAUGGGGAAUCCAUUAUGGAGGAAGAAAUGCUUAAUUUUAUUACUAUAGGAGGUAUGCAUAAGGAAAUCAAAGAUCAUAUGGUAUGGAAAUGGGAUACCAUAGGAAUCUUCUCUGUGAAAUCUGCCUAUAUGAGUUUCAACAAUCAAUCCAUUGGUUACUCGAAUGACGUGUUUACCCUUUAAUGGCAAGCAAAAGCGAUGUCUAAAGCUUUAAUUACCGUGUGGAGGAUUCUGCUUGACAGAUUGCCAACCAGUAAUAACCUCGUCAUGAGGGGUGUGAGUGUUAUCUCUUCAGUAUGUGUGCUUUGUAAAGAGGCGGAAGAAUCAUCCCAACAUUUGUUUCUUGAAUGUGCAUAUGUACAACAAGUUUAGUCUCUUUGUUUUAGAUGGAUUGACAUUCUGUUUGUCGAACACAAGGACCUAAAAUAUCACUUUGAGCAUUUUCACUUAGUACAUAUGUCCAUCAAACAAAAUUAGGUAUGGAAGGAAAUGUGAGUAGCCAUUAUUCAGUGUAUUUGGAAACACAGGUAUCUUCCUUUAAUUUCUCUUUCUCGGAUUGGCUUUUGAACUCUGGCCUAUGCUUUCAAAGUUGCUGAAGUAGAGGUUGAGGUUCGUUUUAGCUACUGUAUGGUCAGAUAAUGUGUGGGUAGUUUCUUCGAAAAUGCAGGGGCUGACGUGGAGAAAAUGAUGAAGUAUCAUAGGAAAAGGGUGUCAACUUGAUGGUGUAUCUGGAGGGGAGGUUCGCUGGAGUAGCAGACUUUUGUUUACAGAAUCAAACCUUUACAAUGGUGUUCAGUCUUAAGGAAUGGAGAGGGAAGAUGAUUCUGGAGUGGUUGAUCUUUAAAGGAAUCCUUGGUGCUGAAUGCGUGGGUUUUAUUGCCGCAGCUAAUCAGGUUUGGGAUUUGCAACCUCAUUCGGUUCUGAGUGAUGAGGCUAGGUGCUUAUAUCUUGGUAGCUGCUGCGUGUGCCUGUUUUUUCCUCUAGCUGCUGCCUUGUAGAGAGUCUAGAGGUGUGAUAUCUGUGACAGGUGGAAGUGUAAUUAUGCAGCUCUGUUAUGUACCAGUUUGGUGUUGUAGUGCUUGGUAUGGAGGAGUUGGUCUAGCAUAGUGCUUCUUGAUGGGUUAAGAAACCGUGUAGGAGGUUGACUAGUGUUGUGUGGUGUUUCUAGUUAAGUUGGAGUGAGACAUGGUGUGUUGCUGAUAGGAAAGGAAGUGCAGCCUAGAAGUCUGCUUUGGUCCUAUGAUCUUGUUUUUUCUGGUUACAUUAUCAAAGCAUUUGGUAUCAUUUAUUUGUUUGAAGCCACAACAUUUAUGCUGAAGCGACCUUUUUGUAAGACAAGUGUUGUGAAUGGAAAAAAAUUAACUGUGACAAAGCGAACCUCCUUUAUAGAAGAAUCCGAAAAAGUAUAAAAAAAAGCAACACCAUUAUUGAAAUCAUUGAAUAAAACAAAGAACAAGAGAAUUAGAUUCCACCCAAAUUAAGUGUAAGGUUUACAUUUCCCUUGAUGUGAGUGAGCAAAGAAUCUUUAGUUUGUGUAUUUAUACAAAGCCUUAGAAACCCAAUAAUAAUGCAGUGGAGAAGCAUUUGAUUAUUAGUUCAGGUGAAGUGGUCAAACAGAGAUAUAAUAUAAUAUUUUGUCUUUAGGUUCAUCAGAUCCUAGUAAUAAUAAUCCAUUUACAUCAUUGAGUUGCAGUUGCAGAUAUAUAUGCAUGUUUCCACCUAUUUCUUCAUAGAUUUUCAGUUUUCAUUCCAGUUCUGUUCAUUAACCAUUUCAUUACAUUUUUUGUUAUGUAUAUGGUUUUAACUGCCAUGCAUGCAUCUAUACUCAUAAGAUGCAUAUAAGUUUAUAUAUAUGGCAUGAUAUGUGAUGCAUGAUGCAUCUUAUAACCUCUUGGUUUGUUGGAGUAAACUUGUUGAUGUCUUUUAGGUUUUCUCAAAUAUAUAGCUCUCUAACCCUAUAUAUAUAUUUAUGCAGGUUUUUCACUUUUGGCUCCUUUCCCACUCUCCAAUAAUGGAAGACUCUCCAGUAAUAGAAGAAUGGUUCCCCGUAACGUUCAAAGCCACUGAACCCAAUUGGAUCCAAACGGAACCCAAAUGGAACCAAAGCUUAGCAAAUAAACGCAUGGAAGUGAAGAAGUCGCAUACAGAGAUAUACGAACCUGACCAAACCAAAAUUAAAGGGAAAGAAGAAAAGAAGAAAGGGAAUGUUUUUUCAACUUUUUUCUGAAAGGAGAUGAACAAGCCAAGUAAUCAAUUUGCCUAAAAGUGAUGAAACUUCUAGUGUAUGAAACCACAAAUAAAUAUGUACUGUUUCAGGAAUAAAACUACUUUCAAUUCUAACAUAAAUAUGCACUAGCUCG